This 207-nucleotide ribosomal RNA is filed under the name uncultured eubacterium AS12. Its description in RNAcentral is "partial 16S ribosomal RNA". It matches the Rfam family "Bacterial small subunit ribosomal RNA", at positions 326 to 523 of the family's 1533-position model. The record is from RNAcentral.
ACGGUCCAGACUCCUACGGGAGGCAGCAGUGCGGAAUUUUAGAUAAUGGAGGGAACUCUGAUCUAGCGACGCCGCGUGCAGGAAGAAGGUCUUCGGAUUGUAAACUGCUGUGGUAAGGGAAAAAUGCUAUGUAGAGUGGAAAGCUACAUAGAGGGAUGGUACCUAACUAGAAAGCCCCGGCUAACUACGUGCCAGCAGCCGCGGUAA